This 298-nucleotide ribosomal RNA is filed under the name uncultured Anaeroplasma sp. Its description in RNAcentral is "partial 16S ribosomal RNA". The record is from RNAcentral. Lineage: Bacteria; Bacillati; Mycoplasmatota; Mollicutes; Anaeroplasmatales; Anaeroplasmataceae.
GGAGUAUGGACCGUUCUCAGUUCCAUUGUGGCCGUACAACCUCUCAGUCCGGCUAUGCAUCAUCGCCUUGGUGGGCUUUUAUCCCGCCAACUAGCUAAUGCACCGCAGGCCCCUCUCUAGGUGAUAAAUCUUUAAAUAUAUCUCCAUGCGGAAAUCUAUACUAUCCAGUAUUAUCCUUCGUUUCCAAAGGUUAUCCUCGUCCUAAAGGUAGGUUACCUACGUAUUACUCACCCGUUCGCCAUGGGAAGCAAGCUCCCCAUUCGACUUGCAUGUAUUAGGCAUGCCGCCAGCGUUAAUC